GGGGAAUAUUGGACAAUGGGCGCAAGCCUGACCCAGCAACGCCGCGUGAGGGAAGAAGGUUUUCGGAUUGUAAACCUCUGUCCUAUGUGACGAAGGAAGUGACGGUAGCAUAGGAGGAAGCCCCGGCUAACUACGUGCCAGCAGCCGCGGUAAUACGUAGGGGGCGAGCGUUGUCCGGAAUUACUGGGCGUAAAGGGUGCGAGGCGGUUUGGUAAGUUGGAUGUGAAAUACCCGGGCUUAACUUGGGGGCUGCAUCCAAUACUGUCGGACUUGAGUGCAGGAGAGGAAAGCGGAAUUCCUAGUGUAGCGGUGAAAUGCGUAGAUAUUAGGAGGAACACCGGUGGCGAAGGCGGCUUUCUGGACUGUAACUGACGCUGAGGCACGAAAGCGUGGGGAGCAAAC
RNAcentral lists this ribosomal RNA (402 nucleotides) under uncultured bacterium. RNAcentral's name for it is "bacterial SSU rRNA". It matches the Rfam family "Bacterial small subunit ribosomal RNA", at positions 356 to 773 of the family's 1533-position model. The record is from RNAcentral.